This 585-nucleotide ribosomal RNA is filed under the name uncultured bacterium. Its description in RNAcentral is "partial 16S ribosomal RNA". It matches the Rfam family "Bacterial small subunit ribosomal RNA", at positions 355 to 1375 of the family's 1533-position model. The record is from RNAcentral.
UGGGGAAUUUUGGACAAUGGGCGAAAGCCUGAUCCAGCAAUGCCGCGUGUGUGAAGAAGGCCUUCGGGUUGUAAAGCACUUUUGUCCGGAAAGAAAUCCUUGGCUCUAAUACAGUCGGGGGAUGACGGUACCGGAAGAAUAAGCACCGGCUAACUACGUGCCAGCAGCCGCGGUAAUACGUAGGGUGCAAGCGUUAAUCGGAAUUACUGGGCGUAAAGCGUGCGCAGGCGGUUUGCUAAGACCGAUGUGAAAUCCCCGGGCUUAACCUGGGAACUGCAUUCGUGACUGCAAGGCUAGAGUAUGGCAGAGGGGGGUAGAAUUCCACGUGUAGCAGUGAAAUGCGUAGAGAUGUGGAGGAAUACCGAUGGCGAAGGCAGCCCCCUGGGCCAAUACUGACGCUCAUGCACGAAAGCGUGGGGAGCAAACAGGAUUAGAUACCCUGGUAGUCCACGCCCUAAACGAUGUCAACUAGUUGUUGGGGAUUCAUUUCCUUAGUAACGUAGCUAACGCGUGAAGUUGACCGCCUGGGGAGUACGGUCGCAAGAUUAAAACUCAAAUGAAUUGACGGGGUCAUAGCUGUUUCCU